AUUUAUUUUUAGCUCUUCUAAACUUGCUCGGGUUAUUACAAAGUGUCAAUAGGAUGAGAUCAGGAGAAUAAGUCCAGGUGUCCUAUUUUGUAUUUUCCUGGAGAGUAACUUAAAUCAAAAAUUUAAAUCGGUUAAAUCAAGUUUACGAAUGUAAACCUGAUAUAGAAUGUAAAUAGACAGACAGACACACAUAUAGAUCAUGCUAUUUCUUUUUUGUUGUUCGAGAGCUGAUAAAAACUGAUAACAGUUGAGCCAAAGUUGUUAUUCGUGUAGAAGUUUUCUGUCAAUUCUUAAAAUUCCGUCAAAUUUGAAAGUCUGUAAAGGACCUUAAGAUAUAAUAUUAUACAGGUUAUUCUUUUUUAUUUUAGAUAGUUAUAUAUUUACCGUCGUUCAAGCUUGAAUAAUUAUUUGUCCGAGAACUUUUUAGGUUUUUUCAAUAAUAGUUUAAAUUGAGAUUUAGGCUUAAACUGUAUUCCAACGAUGCAUUGGUAUAGUUAAACAGAUUUUAAAUUUAAAUCUAAGUUUAAAUUGUUAUUGAAAAAUUUACUGUAAUGAGCAAUGUAUUCAUUAUGUAACUAUUCGGGUUUAAGAAGUACACGAGAAUGAUUUAGAAUCGAUUUUUCAAUAGUAGUUCAAACUUAGAUUUAAGUUUAAGCUAUGUUUCAACAAUGUAUUUGAUGUGUUUAUAAGUCGGAAACAACGUUAAUUAAUGAUCGCAGGUUAACUGCAAUCGUCGACUGCUACGAGCGACACUUUCGAUACGUAUCGUGCGUGCAAUCGUUUUCUGAUAAUUCGGUAAUUUGAGCAUCCCGAAUAUCCAGAAUAUUUGGAAAAUGUUGAUUGUCGUGAUUUUUCGAUCACCCGAUAUAUACAUUUGUUAUUGAUUGGUUGGGUAAGGUAACAGCCGUUCGCGCGGUUGCUUGUUGUUGACAUUAAUCUUCCUCACGGUGCUGACUGUUUUGAAUCUCACACGUCUCGCACUUGUGUUUUGCCAAACAUCAAUCGACGAUUAGUCGACAAGUAACCGCCGUGUCGUGUACAUGUAUAUUCGAGAUUCCUGUCAAACAAUUAAAAUCUUCCGCCGAAAUAGUUAAUCGGGGGCUUCCGUCGGGGCAUCGCGCGCGUUAGUUAACACACGUUUCUCUAAUCGAAUCGUAUCAGUGCCGUUGAGAACGGUUCCGUCUGGAACCACAAAGCAGCCAGGAGCAGGAAGCCACCAUGGAGGAUGCAGAACGCUGGAUGUGGGCAGCAAUAUUUCCAGAUCUGACGAGGGUUUGCGGCCACACGGCAAAAGCAAGCCCGGAGAAUGCAGGCUUUUGAAGCAGGCAAAUCCGGGGAUGCGGGUCUGGACGCAGAUGCAGCACCGGAGGUUCCGGUUCGGGCCAAGCAGGGUCGGCUCUAAAAUCUGAGUUGCGGAAUGUGGCCGCCCCUGAGUUCCCGCUGUUCUCG
Long non-coding RNA from Odontomachus brunneus, 1449 nucleotides. RefSeq lists it as uncharacterized. The transcript is spliced from 3 exons. The record is from RefSeq and is a predicted model, not a curated record. Lineage: Eukaryota; Metazoa; Arthropoda; Insecta; Hymenoptera; Formicidae.